GGCCCAUUGGCUCAGUUGGUUAGAGCGUCGUGCUAAUAAUACGAAGGUUGCAGGUUCGAGACCUGCAUGGGCCA
Non-coding RNA from Lathyrus oleraceus (garden pea), 74 nucleotides. NCBI's taxonomy places the organism in Eukaryota, Viridiplantae, Streptophyta, Magnoliopsida, Fabales, Fabaceae. The record is from the annotation of a RefSeq genome assembly.